UACUGUUGCUAGUCUCAAAGUCGGCAAAAUGUUAAUGCUAUUAAGCUUGUGGUGAGGUCUGAUGGUUCUAGGUGCUUAGGAUAACACUAUUAUUUGUUUAAUUUCUCAUAAAAUAAAUUUCAUCAUUUAAGAAUUUCAUCUGGCAUGGGAAGCCGCCCUGUAAAGAGGAUUGUUGAUGUCUCAAAGCUUUAGAGUUAUCAAUUUCCACAGAUGGGUGUAGUUUCUAGAGAAGCGUCAGAAGGAUCCAUGGGGAAUUCCUGCAAAUAAGAAGGCAAGCGCUCAGUGUUGAUGACCAUGUGUUGGGAGCUUUCAUGGAUCAAGAGCUAGAUUGUGGACGGCUAUUUCAACUUGUUUUAGCAGUAUUCUAUUUCAAGAAAUUAAAGCUUUGACCUCGUGUUAAUUGUUGCAGUUGGUGUGUUGCUGCAAUUGGUAGUUGAUGGUUCUGCCGAUUCUUGGAUGCUUGGUAAGCUACUGCAGUAGGUUGGUGUGAUUGCUGAUAAGUAAAGGGGAUGUUACUGUUGAAAAUCAAAUGGUAUCGAACAUGUCGCUGCAACUACCUUGCACUGAAAUUAGGUUCAACAUCAGGUCUCGGUUGGGAUCUUCUCGUAUAUAUGAGCAGCAAACCCUCCGAAGAAAGGCCCGGUACCUUCAAAUCCCUGUAGUAUUCAGAAAACUUACUUAAAAGGAUCAAGAUGAUGGAUUGGAUCCGAUAGAAAAUGAAGAUUAAGUUGACAUUGAGAAUCACGCACACGUAAGGGAAAGCAGUUGAAGAUGAAAAGAUAGAAGACAUUUAAAUUAGUUUUGGAUUAUACAUUUUAGGUUUAGAUAUGAUCAAUUGGUUUUUAUUUUGAACAUAAUAAUGUAACUUUCAUAGAUCGUACAUGAAAUACAUUAGAGAGUUGUUUAUUAGUUUAACCUUCAAAAUGACAUGUGCACAUUCGUGCAAUAAAUAUUUCGGAUUCAUAAUAUUAUUAUUAUUAUUA
Molecule: long non-coding RNA, 983 nt
Organism: Spinacia oleracea (spinach)
Lineage: Eukaryota; Viridiplantae; Streptophyta; Magnoliopsida; Caryophyllales; Amaranthaceae
Exons: 4
Source: RefSeq, a predicted model, not a curated record